UACGUAGGGUGCGAGCGUUAGUCGGAAUUACUGGGCGUAAAGUGUGCGCAGGCGGCCGCGCAAGUCGAGUGUGAAAGCCCCGAGCUUAACUUGGGAAUUGCGCUCGAAACUACGUGGCUGGAGUGUGGCAGAGGAAGGUGGAAUUCCAGGUGUAGCGGUGAAAUGCGUAGAGAUCUGGAGGAACAUCAGUGGCGAAAGCGACUUCCUGGACCAGUACCGACGUUCAGGCACGAAAGCGUGGGGAGCAAACAGG
This 253-nucleotide ribosomal RNA is filed under the name uncultured prokaryote. Its description in RNAcentral is "partial 16S ribosomal RNA". It matches the Rfam family "Bacterial small subunit ribosomal RNA", at positions 524 to 776 of the family's 1533-position model. The record is from RNAcentral.